ACCCUAUUUAUCCAAUCACAGCUGCCCCUUAUUCACCCAAUCACAGCCUUUACAAAUCCACACUCAAUCUCCUCACAUUUCACAUAACAAAGUGCAGCAGCAGAUUCAACACCAUGCCUUUCGAACUGCAGCAACAAAUUGAUUCUAGCCAUCACAAAUCAACAACACAACAGAAUUAUUUCUAAAGGCUUUAUGAACCAAGGGGAUUAGCGCUGCUUUCCCAAGACGAGUUUAUGUGAUUAUGAUCUUCAGGCUUUGCCUAUCCAGGUUGGCUGGCUGGUGCUGACGGGACGGAGCUGAGGCUAGAGUUAAAAUUCAUAUGUUAGACUUCCGCUGUAGCAAUUACUCUUAUACAUCUUUUGUUUUCUCAACUUAAGAUGACUUCAUGUCGAGUUUAAAUUUGAAAUUCUAGUUUUACGCUAAUGAAUGUUGGUUGUCAGAAACAUGAAACAAAACUUGUGAUCCAAAGGGGCAUAGCCCGACUUUCUAUCCUAUUUCGGUUAUGACAAGGUUUUUCCCUUGUUUA
Molecule: long non-coding RNA, 526 nt
Organism: Salvia miltiorrhiza (redroot sage)
Lineage: Eukaryota; Viridiplantae; Streptophyta; Magnoliopsida; Lamiales; Lamiaceae
Exons: 3
Source: RefSeq, a predicted model, not a curated record